AUUGAACGCUGGCGGCAUGCCUUACACAUGCAAGUCGAACGGCAGCACGGGAGCUUGCUCCUGGUGGCGAGUGGCGAACGGGUGAGUAAUACAUCGGAACGUACCCUGAAGUGGGGGAUAACGUAGCGAAAGUUACGCUAAUACCGCAUAUUCUGUGAGCAGGAAAGAGGGGGAUCGCAAGACCUCUUGCUUUAGGAGCGGCCGAUGUCGGAUUAGCUAGUUGGUGAGGUAAAGGACUUCACCAAGGCGACGAUCCGUAGCGGGUCUGAGAGGAUGAUCCGCCACGCUGGGACUGAGACACGGCCCAGACUCCUACGGGAGGCAGCAGUGGGGAAUUUUGGACAAUGGGCGCAAGCCUGAUCCAGCCAUGCCGCGUGAGUGAAGAAGGCCUUCGGUGUAAG
RNAcentral lists this ribosomal RNA (401 nucleotides) under uncultured bacterium. RNAcentral describes it as "bacterial SSU rRNA". It matches the Rfam family "Bacterial small subunit ribosomal RNA", at positions 30 to 429 of the family's 1533-position model. The record is from RNAcentral.